AGUACCGUGAGGGAAAGGUGAAAAGCACCCCGAUGAGGGGAGUGAAACAGUACCUGAAACGGAUUGCCUACAAGCAGUUGGAGCCCCCUUGAGGGGUGACAGCGUACCUCUUGCAUAAUGGGUCAGUGACUUAAUGUAUCAAAGCAAGCUUAAGCCGUUAGGUGUAGGCGCAGCGAAAGCGAGUCUGAAUAGGGCGAUUUAGUUUGAUGUAUUAGACCCGAAACCCGGCGAUCUAGGCAUGACCAGGAUGAAGGUGCGGUAACACGCACUGGAGGUCCGANCCGAUUAACGUUGAAAAGUUACCGGAUGAGUUGUGUUUAGGGGUGAAAGGCCAAUCAAGCCGGGAAAUAGCUGGUUCUCUCCGAAAUAACUUUAGGGUUAGCCUCGUGACAGCCGUGACGGAGGUAGAGCACUGAAUGAGCUAGGGGCGUUCCAACGCUACUGAACUCAAUCAAACUCCGAAUACCUACAAGUGCAAUCACGGGAGACAGACAUCGGGUGCUAACGUCCGGUGUCAAGAGGGAAACAACCCGGACCUACAGCUAAGGCCCCUAAUUCGUGGCUAAGUGGGAAAGGAUGUGGGAAUCCCAAAACAACCAGGAGGUUGGCUUAGAAGCAGCCAU
This 623-nucleotide ribosomal RNA is filed under the name uncultured bacterium. Its description in RNAcentral is "bacterial LSU rRNA". It matches the Rfam family "Bacterial large subunit ribosomal RNA", at positions 497 to 1119 of the family's 2925-position model. The record is from RNAcentral.